CUUGAUCGAGCCCAGCCACAGCGGCUUUUCCCGCCCCUGGCCGUACGUCGCGAGCAGCGCCUGCGCCUC
RNAcentral lists this antisense RNA (69 nucleotides) under Amycolatopsis xylanica. RNAcentral's name for it is "ASpks TB sRNA". It matches the Rfam family "ASpks TB sRNA". The record is from Rfam by way of RNAcentral. Lineage: Bacteria; Bacillati; Actinomycetota; Actinomycetes; Pseudonocardiales; Pseudonocardiaceae.